Molecule: ribosomal RNA, 279 nt
Filed under: uncultured bacterium
Lineage: Bacteria
Description: partial 16S ribosomal RNA
Rfam family: Bacterial small subunit ribosomal RNA
Source: RNAcentral
UGCCAGCCGCCGCGGUAAUACGAAGGGGGCUAGCGUUGUUCGGAAUCACUGGGCGUAAAGCGCACGUAGGCGGACUUUUAAGUCAGGGGUGAAAUCCCGAGGCUCAACCUCGGAACUGCCUUUGAUACUGGAAGUCUUGAGUUCGAGAGAGGUAAGUGGAAUACCGAGUGUAGAGGUGAAAUUCGUAGAUAUUCGGUGGAACACCAGUGGCGAAGGCGGCUUUCUGGACCGAUACUGACGCUGAGACGCGAAAGCGUGGGGAGCAAACAGGAUUAGAUA